CCUACGGGAGGCAGCAGUAGGGAAUUUUCGUCAAUGGGCGCAAGCCUGAACGAGCAAUGCCGCGUGAACGAGGAAGGUCUUCGAAUCGUAAAGUUCUUUUGAAGGGGAAAAAGAGCGGAGAGAGGAAAUGGUCUCCGAUUGAUAUUACCCUUCGAGGAAGUCACGGCUAACUACGUGCCAGCAGCCGCGGUAAUACGUAGGUGGCGAGCGUUAUCCGGAAUGAUUGGGUGUAAAGGGUGCGUAGACGGGAAAGCAAGUUAGUUGUGAAAUCCCUCGGCUUAACUGAGGAACUGCAACUAAAACUA
Molecule: ribosomal RNA, 305 nt
Filed under: uncultured bacterium
Lineage: Bacteria
Description: bacterial SSU rRNA
Rfam family: Bacterial small subunit ribosomal RNA
Source: RNAcentral